RNAcentral lists this RNase P RNA (397 nucleotides) under Candidatus Staskawiczbacteria bacterium. Its description in RNAcentral is "RNase P RNA component class A". It matches the Rfam family "Bacterial RNase P class A". From Rfam's summary of the family: Ribonuclease P (RNase P) is a ubiquitous endoribonuclease, found in archaea, bacteria and eukarya as well as chloroplasts and mitochondria. Its best characterised activity is the generation of mature 5'-ends of tRNAs by cleaving the 5'-leader elements of precursor-tRNAs. The record is from RNAcentral. Lineage: Bacteria; Candidatus Staskawicziibacteriota.
UCAGCAAAAUGAGCAAUCGCUCCCCGACAAUAGCUAACGCAAUUUGACGGGGGGAGGAAAGUCCGAACACUCACGUCUUUAAAAGGGGUUAAAAUGGUAGCGGGUAACGCCCGUCCGCAGUAAUGCGCGAGGUGCGAACAGAAACGCCUGGAACCGAAAGGUGACAGGAGCCCGCCACAACGUGCGUUAGCACUUUGGGCGUGGCGACCCCUGCUUUUAGCGGGGCUGAAACGGCUAAAUCCUUACCUGAGUGCAAGAACAAAGCCUAUAUCAUUGUUUCAUCAGUGAAAAGGGUUAAAAGUAGUUCGCUAGAUUCCGACAGCAAUGUCGAGAACAGACAGAUGAUUGCAUCCGCCAGCUGGCGGAACAGAAUUCGGCUUAUAGUUUUGCUGAGACA